AAGUCGUAACAAGGUUUCCGUAGGUGAACCUGCGGAAGGAUCAUUAACGCAUCCCUGACGGCCAAGGCGCGACCCCGCUCCGGACCGCAAGGCCGUGCAGCGGGCCCGCCUGGGUCGCUCAACCUUCACAAACCCACUGUGCACCUUUGGCGGCGGGAGGCAUGGCGAGAGCCGUGCCCGACGCUGCGUCACAAACGCUCAGUAGAAAAGAACGAUCGGUGGACUCUGUUCCGCCCAAAACACUUAACAACUUUCAACAACGGAUCUCUUGGCUCUC
This 277-nucleotide unclassified non-coding RNA is filed under the name air metagenome. Its description in RNAcentral is "partial contains small subunit ribosomal RNA, internal transcribed spacer 1, and 5.8S ribosomal RNA". The stretch from base 1 to 46 matches the Rfam family "Eukaryotic small subunit ribosomal RNA", at positions 1786 to 1831 of the family's 1831-position model. The record is from RNAcentral.